This is a long non-coding RNA of Cercocebus atys (sooty mangabey), 1659 nucleotides long. RefSeq lists it as uncharacterized. NCBI's taxonomy places the organism in Eukaryota, Metazoa, Chordata, Mammalia, Primates, Cercopithecidae. The transcript is spliced from 3 exons. The record is from RefSeq and is a predicted model, not a curated record.
AGAAGAUAAUGACUUUUAAAAUGAUAGAUAUGGGUUUUGAUAAUUACCAAUACUUUUCAUCAUUAUUUCAGGUAAUCAGGAGGUGGUGGUGAGGGGUGGGAAUCACUUUAUUGUCUCUCAGUCUAAACUCAAAUUGAAAUGGGGUAAUUCCCUUGAUCCCUUCACAGGACUUGUGAAGGGGUAGCUUGCUUACUCAGCCCACAGAUCUUAACCCCUGGAGGGAGGGGGAGCAUGCAGGUAAUCAGGUGCAGAGGCUGGGACAAGCACUUCUGGGCAGCUGGCAGGAGCAGAACUCUGUGCAGAACCGCUGUAGUAUCUAGGGGUUGCCUGUGGCCCCUGGAGCCCCAGAAGGUAUGUGUUACAGUGUGCUCUUUUAGCUUUGCUGUCUAUGGACAGCUUAAGUGUUAACUCAGUGGAGGGUCAGUCUGACAGCCUCUUGCACCCGCACCCAGGUCCUUGUCCAGCAUCCAGGAGGAAUGAGGUAACACAAACAAACUGGAGUGUGGUGAAUGUGGAGGCUUUCAUUGCCAAUGAAAGUGGCUCCCAGCAGGAAGCGGGGGCUGGAAAGGGGAUGGAGGACGAGGGUGGUCUUCCCCUGGAGUGUGGGUGCCAAACUCCUUUCUAACCAUCCCCAGCCCACAUCCUCUCUGACUGUAGUCUCCGAUGUCCAGCUGGUUCUUCACCUCUCAAUAUUCAGACACCUCUUCUCUCCUCUGCCAUGCCUCUCUGCUCUGCCAGUGUGGUCUGGGGUUUUUACGGGUACAGGAUGCGGGGGCAGGGUGGGCCAGGGUGGUUCUGGAAAAGGCAACAUUUGGGUGGGAAAACAGGAAGACAUGUUCUCACUUUGGGCCAUGGGUCCAGGCUUGAGGGUGUGGCCCUGACCAGGGACUGCCCUUCUACCCAGUAUUUCCCUGCCUCCUGUCCAUAUCAGAAUAUCCACUUCAGCAGAGCCACCACAUGGGGUGGCAGCACAAAUUAUGCAAUGUAAUCCUGCCAUUUGAGAGGUUUUCCUGACCACUCCUUGUCGAGUUUCCUUCCAGUUCCCAUCGAUCAUAAAACCAGCUGUAUUUUCACCGUAACUUGUUUGCUUUAUACAUUUGUGAUUAUUAAUUUUAUAUGUUAAUUUGACUGGGCCAAGGAGUGCAAAGCUUAAACAUUAUUUCUGGAUGUGUUGUAAGGGUGUUUCCAGCUGAGAUCAGCAUUGCAAUCAGUGGACUCAGCAAGGUACACUGCCCCCGAACUAUGCGGUUGGCAUCAUUCAAUCCACUGAAGGCCUGAGCAGAACAAAAGAAAGAGGAAGAGGAAUUCAUUCCUUUUGCUUCCUGCCUGCCUACUGAGCUCAGAUAUUGCUCUUCUCCUGCCCAUGGCCUGGAAUUUACACUAUCAGCACCCCUGGUUCUCAAGCAUUCAGACUUGGACUGGAAUUAUACCACCAGCUUUCCUAGGUUUCUACCUUGCAGGCAGAAGGUCAUGGGACUUCACGCUCCAUAAUCAUGACUUAACAAUCACACGAAUCACCACCACCACUUAUUGUGUGGCUUCUAGAUACUUCAAAAAUACAUGCUCCUGUUUAUUGCCCAUGUGACGUCACAAGGGAACCAAAGAGGAGGAAGACACAGAACCUUCCCUCAAGUUUACAGUUUACCAAUUCUACCAAGA